GACGAACGCUGGCGGCGUGCCUAAUACAUGCAAGUUGAGCGCUGAAGGUUGGUACUUGUACCAACUGGAUGAGCAGCGAACGGGUGAGUAACGCGUGGGGAAUCUGCCUUUGAGCGGGGGACAACAUUUGGAAACGAAUGCUAAUACCGCAUAAAAACUUUAAACACAAGUUUUAAGUUUGAAAGAUGCAAUUGCAUCACUCAAAGAUGAUCCCGCGUUGUAUUAGCUAGUUGGUGAGGUAAAGGCUCACCAAGGCGAUGAUACAUAGCCGACCUGAGAGGGUGAUCGGCCACAUUGGGACUGAGACACGGCCCAAACUCCUACGGGAGGCAGCCGUAGGGGAUCUUCGGCAAUGGACGAAAGUCUGACCGAGCAACGCCGCGUGAGUGAAGAAGGUUUUCGGAUCGUAAAACUCUGUUGGUAGAGAAGAACGUUGGUGAGAGUGGAAAGCUCAUAAAGUGACGGUAACUACCCAGAAAGGGACGGCUAACUACGUG
This 497-nucleotide ribosomal RNA is filed under the name uncultured bacterium. Its description in RNAcentral is "partial 16S ribosomal RNA". It matches the Rfam family "Bacterial small subunit ribosomal RNA", at positions 28 to 507 of the family's 1533-position model. The record is from RNAcentral.